RNAcentral lists this long non-coding RNA (704 nucleotides) under Mus caroli (Ryukyu mouse). RNAcentral's name for it is "lncRNA (MGP_CAROLIEiJ_G0006879.1)". Lineage: Eukaryota; Metazoa; Chordata; Mammalia; Rodentia; Muridae. The record is from RNAcentral.
GCAGCACAGCGCAGCGCUCCUGGAGAGGCUGUGGGUUCGUGGCAUCCGCGCCGCGGCCGCAAGUAUAGCAGGUUCGUACCUGGUGUUCAUCGCCGUUAAGUCAUCGCUGCUGCCACCCAGGCACGGCUCUCUAUGACGCCGCUCCCUCCACCCUCUAGGCACUGCCAGCCGUAAGAAUUUUAACUGCGACACUCGCUUCAUCAGGAGAUUUUAUUGGCUGCAGACACACCCAGCAUCUUCUUGCGCUCCUCCUUGAGGUGGAUGGACAGCUAGCUGCAGAUGGCACAGAAUGGUGAGCAUCUUUUUGCACGCCGCAUUGCCCGCUGGCUCCAAGAUCUCGGCUGCCAGUGACUUCAACAGAAGUGGAGUAAAUAAAGAUGAUUGCAGAACUUGGAAGCUGACGAAAUUAAUUUUGGAAAAGAGCUGGCUUGGAGCAUGACAGAAGAAUGCGUUGGAAAGAAUGCUGGGAGCCCAACUCAAGACUGAUGUGUGCUUGGCAGGCAGUCUACCCCCGAUCUCAGUCCUCAGCCUUUCGGCCUUUUUUCUUUCCUUUUUGGAGACAGAAUUGCAUCAUAUGGCAUCCUACACAGUCCUGCCUCAGUCUCUGGAGUGCUGGGAUUGUAGGCCUAUGCCACCUAGCCUUUCUACAAUACAAACAAAUAUGAAAAGAAGAGGGGCUUCUUUGGAAAGGAGUACAGGGACUA